ACAUUGUUAGUAUAAGUAUUAUUUUACUUUUCCAAAGUGAAGAUCUAGAUUAUCUAGACAAUGUA
This 65-nucleotide transfer RNA is filed under the name Scalithrium magniphallum. Its description in RNAcentral is "tRNA-Gly". The record is from RNAcentral. Lineage: Eukaryota; Metazoa; Platyhelminthes; Cestoda; Rhinebothriidea; Rhinebothriidae.